RNAcentral lists this small RNA (1108 nucleotides) under Histoplasma capsulatum. RNAcentral describes it as "hypothetical RNA". The record is from RNAcentral. Lineage: Eukaryota; Fungi; Ascomycota; Eurotiomycetes; Onygenales; Ajellomycetaceae.
AGAUUCCAGUGACUGGGCUGUAGAUAUUGUCCAGAUGUACCAAACCCAAGAAUUAACCAAAGGAAAAAAAAAAAAGACAAGGAGAAAUAGAAAUACUCCCGAAAACUGCCCGCUGCUAUCCCGCUGAACCUAGACCAUCAACCCAGCCCUACUCAACCCUCUCAACAACAACCGCCGUCCCAUACGAACACACCUGCGCAAACCCGCCCAGAUCGCUCGUAUCAAAUCGGAGCGCGAUAAUCGCAUUCCCCCCCUUCUGCAAACACUCGCCCACCAUGCGCGACACGGCCUCGUUGCGCGCGCGAUACAGCAUUGUGGUGAACAUGCCCAAUUCCCCACCACCGAUGGAUUUGAGCACCAUGCCCAGUCCUGCGGCCAGGUUGCGCGAUUGCACGGUGAGUCCGUAGACGGCGCCCAGGACCCGAGUCACGCGGUAGCCCGGGAGGUCGUUCAUGGUUGUGGUGAUCACGCCAUCAGUGUCGCUGAAGGCACCGUGGACCUCCAGGCCCUGCAGACUGUCUUGGGGGGCCAUGGUGGACUUUUGUGGAUGAGAAGCUGAUGUCAUAUGGUGGAUGUGUAGUUAUGUUGAGGAGGAAAGGAGACAGAGAAGGAGAAGGAGAAGGAGGAGGAUGGACGGAGGAUGGUUUGUGUAUUUAUAGACUUUUCCGAAAGAUGUUUUGAUGAUGAGUUUGCUUUCUAUGGCUUUUUUGAUCAUUUAAAUUUUGGACUUGCUUCUUUGAAUGUGUCUCCUUCUGCAGCUCUGUCCUGAAUCUCCUGGUUUAUAUACUUUUCAGACCCGGCAACAGCCUUAUCGGUUGGGUUUUGCAACUAACUCCGUUUGGGAUAAAACUCGUAUUCCUUCAACCUCUUCAUGACGAUCCACUGCUAUAUACUUUUGAUCGCCGCAUUAGACGAGCAAUUUGGCUUGUUAGGGAGGAAUGUGCUUCUGUUUAUACGGUAUUUAAGAGCCUGGAUUGAAUGUAUUCACAGAUUUCACGUAUUCGUUGAUUGAAUGAUGUUCGCCUGAUUAUCUCUUGACAACUGUCGUGAAACCAACGAACGAGGAGAGGCGUACCAUGGUCGUUUAGCAAUUGUCCAAAGAUUAGGC